This 491-nucleotide ribosomal RNA is filed under the name uncultured bacterium. RNAcentral describes it as "partial 16S ribosomal RNA". It matches the Rfam family "Bacterial small subunit ribosomal RNA", at positions 29 to 507 of the family's 1533-position model. The record is from RNAcentral.
GUGAACGCUGGCGGUAGGCCUAACACAUGCCAGUCGAACGGCAGCACCGUAAGAGCUUGCUCUUACGGGUGGCGAGUGGCGGACGGGUGAGGAAUACAUCGGAAUCUACUUUUUCGUGGGGGAUAACGUAGGGAAACUUACGCUAAUACCGCAUACGACCUACGGGUGAAAGCAGGGGAUCUUCGGACCUUGCGCGAUUGAAUGAGCCGAUGUCGGAUUAGCUAGUUGGCGGGGUAAAGGCCCACCAAGGCGACGAUCCGUAGCUGGUCUGAGAGGAUGAUCAGCCACACUGGAACUGAGACACGGUCCAGACUCCUACGGGAGGCAGCAGUGGGGAAUAUUGGACAAUGGGCGCAAGCCUGAUCCAGCCACACCGCGUGGGUGAAGAAGGCCUUCGGGUUGUAAAGCCCUUUUGUUGGGAAAGAAAAGCAGCAGGUUAAUACCCCGCUGUUCUGACGGUACCCAAAGAAUAAGCACCGGCUAACUUCGUG